GCCCCGCCUCCCUCACACAGACCUCGCCGCCGGCCAUGGCCUUCCCAACAGCCGCCGCUCCGACCCUCUCCCCCUCCCCUCCCCUUAUCACAAGACAAGAGAAGAGAAGAGGGAGGGAAAUCGAUCGCGACCGAGCAGGUCAGGCGGCGACAAUGGCGCGCCCAGACCUGCCAGCGCCGUCGUCGUCGAGCUGGGCUGGGCGGCGCAGUCCGGUAGAGUAGGAAUGAGGGGGCGGUGGGACGCCUCCCCUGCUCGAGCUGCUCCAAGCGAGCGACCACAGCGCCGGAUCCACCUCCACAACCACCCACCGGCGGCCACGGAAGGUCAGGGACCUUCGUUCAGUCCGUGUGCUUCUUCUCCAUGGAGCUCCGACACCGCAGCAGCCGCAUCCAUGGAAGUGCCGACGCCAUGGACCUCGUCAAUCGUGGUUUGCUGCUGUCGCCGAUCGUUUCCCUGACAAGUUGACACGAAAGCCACCAUUGUCAAAGUCGUCGUUGGCCGGCGUUGCCACUGGUCGCUGCUCCACGCAUCUUAUCGGUGCCGCGAGGCGAUGCCAUCUGCAUCUGUUGCUGCAGCCUGGGAGGUGGCCGGGUCUCCAAGCAUGCACAAUACUCACGCCCAUACCCACGGCUGUAGCGUCGCUCUGCUGCAUGAAUCAUUCCAUCAGGCUGCUAAUUCCAACCACCUCUUCCGAUUUUGCGAAGGUGAUGCCCUCUUUGCUGCCCAAUCGUUGAAGAUGCCAUAGGACAAGAUCCUCUGCUGCUGCUGUGUCUGGUGGUUGAAGAAGGGGUGUGCUGGGAAGAGGAGGCAGUGUUGAGAGUGCUCAAUCUGGAACAGGACGAGCUUAGGCUGCAUCGGUGUGUUUGCUGCUGCUGAAUUUGCUAACUACUACUGCUCCCUAUAGCGUUAUUACAUUUGGCUUCGUGCUUUACCAACGACCUCUCCUUCUAGACCUGGCUACGCAGGCUCUGGUUCUCAACCUCCAACAUGAGUCCCUUUCUUCCGUGCCUCGAAUGCCACGAGUCAUCAUGGGCACUGCAGAUGCGGAGGAGUUUUACCGGGGCGAUCUGCUUGUUCCCGGCCGCGCUGGUGUCAACUACCUCGAGCCACUAUGACCAUCCCAACCACGCUCAACCCCCUGAACGAAUUGUUUGUGGAUCUGCGAAGGGGGAUUCAAUUAAUUUUCAGUUGUAGAAAAGGGAGAAGGGGGAUUCAAUUAAUUUUCCUCCUCAAGAUCAAAGAAACAAAAUCUUUGUGGCGAUGAUAGAAGGGGUUCACGACUUCACGUUAAUACACAGACUAUUGGUAAGGGCAUUAAAACAUAUAUCUGGUGUGAAAUGGUCGUACAUGCUUGAUUAGAAUAUUUUCAAGUGUUGUAGGUGUACGGCUGUGGGGAAACAUUUUCAUGGUCUAAUUUUCUAAUUAAUGUAUGCACGAGACAUGAAUCUUGGAUUCUAAACUUUUUCCUUGAUGUUUGGGCUUCCUCUAACUUUUCGUAUAUUGCACACAACACAACACAUAGAUUCAUGUCUUCCAUGCUUGCUGUCUUGUAACAAACAGAUGUUGGGAUGGAUACUAAUUUUCUAAAUGAUUUGAACUCAUGUUGUUUUCUAUUCUACUGCCAUUGGUUCAUCAUUCUGAACCAUUCAAUUGUUGGAACUCCGGCAUAUAUUGGUCCUGAAGUUAUGCUGAAGAAAGAAUAUGACGCAAGCUACGAUCCAUCCUAUUUUGUGCUUUAAACGGUCUGCUGCAUACUCUGCCAUCUGCUGCAUAACUUAAUUCUGUUUGCUCGGCCAUAAAAGCCUUACUUGAUUUCUGAAUCUUCCAUUCACCUUUCGUUGUCAUGAGUGGUGAAUGGUCUUGAGGAGUAACCAUUUAGAUAUUGUAUGUUUUUUUGCUCGAACACGAUCUCGACAUUGAUAAUAGCAGAGAGAUAAUAUACGCCUUAUAAUCUUGUAACUGUAGAAAAAAGUAUAGAUAACCCCCAGAAGUAUCCUGUUUGGAUCACAUAACCCCCCAUGUUUAAAAUCGAGUUCUUAAUCCCUUGAACUAUUCUAAACCAGACAUAUCACCCCCUGGCACCCACUUAAGUAGUUUGGGACGGUGGUUUUGCAUAUGUGGCGCCUGGGCUGGGCCCAUCGACCGGCCACGUCGGACUGGGCCUGCUGGGUGCGGUCUAAAUGACGCCCUCGAGCAGGUUCGACCCAGACUCGGCCUCUUCGCCUCCCAAUUUAGCGUGAGCUUUUUAAUUUUUCAGCAGUGUACUACAGCAAAUUGUUGAUUAUUAUACUGUUCUGUAUGCAAUGCUAUGUUAAAGAAGGAAACUUUUGACAACAAAUAUUUUAUGACUGUACUAUUCUGUAUGGAAUGGUGUGUUGCAAGAUAUUUUAUCAGAAGUGUACAUAUUAUUGGCAUCAAAUUCAGAAAUAGACAGCAAAUUUCCAUAGCAUUGAAGAUCUUAAAUUCACACAAUAAGUUCCAUGGAAUACUCAGGUUCAACCUGAUAAAAGCUACAGGUCUUUGACAUGCAAAACUCCACAAACGACACUUAAUUGUCAAGGAAUUUGAUGUUUCACAUCAAAUAAAAGCACACACUUCUAUCUGGUGUUACACAUCAACUACGUGACAUUGAAAAACAAUCUGGGCAUUCACUUUUUCCCAGUGAGAAGUCAUUCCAGCCUGUUAUUUCUUUGCACUUGCAUCUGCUGUGAGCUUGAAGAAGCCCUGUUGUGAAUGCCCAGAUUGUAUGUGCAUCUGCUGUGAGCUUGAAGAAGCACUUGCAUCAACUACGUAACUAUAUGUGCAGAAGUAGUUGUGGUGUUCCUUCCACCUUAUGAAUUAGUCUGUGAAGAGGUGAAUAGUCAGGAGCCCCAUGGAGCCAAACAAACAUUAUGUUCAGGCUACAGAUUAUAUUCAUACUACAGCUUGAGUCCGAAUUUGUAUUGAUACACGAAAAUGUCAUGUGUGCCAAGAAAAGUAUGUUAGCUGUACAAUCAAUUUUGGUGUGCAUUUCUUAUUUAUUUUUGAGUCGGACGUGUGCAUUUCUAAUUAGAAGUAGAAGAAGAAAGAUGUGACACGGACUUCCUAAGAUCACAUACACAUAGUUGAAUAGUAUAAUUAGAAUAAUAAUAAUAAAAUUCAAAAAGCUUAUUUAUUUUGGCUACAAAUUUGCUGGAGUGUUAUAGAUGUGCAUACCAUUUCGUGAAGGAAUAACAUAAAUGGUGGUCGGGACAAAC
Long non-coding RNA from Triticum dicoccoides, 3236 nucleotides. RefSeq lists it as uncharacterized. The record is from RefSeq and is a predicted model, not a curated record. The transcript is spliced from 4 exons. NCBI's taxonomy places the organism in Eukaryota, Viridiplantae, Streptophyta, Magnoliopsida, Poales, Poaceae.